RNAcentral lists this ribosomal RNA (422 nucleotides) under uncultured bacterium. RNAcentral describes it as "partial 16S ribosomal RNA". It matches the Rfam family "Bacterial small subunit ribosomal RNA", at positions 361 to 775 of the family's 1533-position model. The record is from RNAcentral.
AUAUUUGACAAUGGGCGAAGGCCUGAUCCAGCCAUGCCGCGUGUGUGAAGAAGGUCUACGGAUUGUAAAGCAUUUUAAGUUGGGAGGAAGGACAGUAAGCUAAUACGUUGCUGUUUUGACGUUACCGACAGAAUAAGCACCGGCUAACUCCGUGCCAGCAGCCGCGGUAAUACGAAGGGUGCAAGCGUUAAUCGGAAUUACGCGGCGUAAAGCGCGCGUAGGUGGUUUGUUAAGUUGGAAGUGAAAGCCCCGGGCUCAACCUGGGAACUGCUUUCAAAACUGGCAAGCUAGAGUAUGGCAGAGGGUGGUGGAAUUUCCUGUGUAGCGGUGAAAUGCGUAGAUAUAGGAAGGAACAUCAGUGGCGAAGGCGACUACCUGGACUGAUACUGACACUGAGGUGCGAAAGCGUGGGGAGCAAACAG